Molecule: transfer RNA, 70 nt
Filed under: Dipodomys ordii (Ord's kangaroo rat)
Lineage: Eukaryota; Metazoa; Chordata; Mammalia; Rodentia; Heteromyidae
Rfam family: tRNA
About the family: Transfer RNA (tRNA) molecules are approximately 80 nucleotides in length.
Source: Rfam by way of RNAcentral
GGGACUGUGGCUCAGUGGUAGAGUGCUUACUUAGCAUGCAUGAAGCCCUGGGUUUGAUUCCUCAGUACCA